ACGUAGUUAGCCGGGACUUAUUCCUGAGGUACCGUCCUUUCUCUUCCCCCAGAAAAGGGUUUUACGACCCGAAAGCCUUCAUCACCCACGCGACGUUGCUGCGUCAGGGUUUCCCCCAUUGCGCAAUAUCCCU
Molecule: ribosomal RNA, 133 nt
Filed under: uncultured bacterium
Lineage: Bacteria
Description: partial 16S ribosomal RNA
Source: RNAcentral